CAGCCGCCGCGGGAACACGAAGGGGGCUAGCGUUGCUCGGAAUGACUGGGCGUAAAGGGCGCGUAGGCGGAUUGUUUAGUUAGGCGUGAAAUUCCUGGGCUUAACCUGGGGACUGCGCUUAAUACAGGCAGUCUAGAGUGAGGAAGAGGGUUGUGGAAUUCCCAGUGUAGAGGUGAAAUUCGUAGAUAUUGGGAAGAACACCGGUGGCGAAGGCGGCAACCUGGUCCUUGACUGACGCUGAGGCGCGAAAGCGUGGGGAGCAAACAGGAUUAGAUACCCCAGUAGUCCCUGUCUCUUAUAC
RNAcentral lists this ribosomal RNA (301 nucleotides) under uncultured bacterium. RNAcentral's name for it is "partial 16S ribosomal RNA". It matches the Rfam family "Bacterial small subunit ribosomal RNA", at positions 509 to 807 of the family's 1533-position model. The record is from RNAcentral.